Molecule: transfer RNA, 68 nt
Filed under: Gammaproteobacteria bacterium
Lineage: Bacteria; Pseudomonadati; Pseudomonadota; Gammaproteobacteria
Description: tRNA-Glu
Rfam family: tRNA
About the family: Transfer RNA (tRNA) molecules are approximately 80 nucleotides in length. Their secondary structure includes four short double-helical elements and three loops (D, anti-codon, and T loops). Further hydrogen bonds mediate the characteristic L-shaped molecular structure. tRNAs have two regions of fundamental functional importance: the anti-codon, which is responsible for specific mRNA codon recognition, and the 3' end, to which the tRNAs corresponding amino acid is attached (by aminoacyl-tRNA synthetases). tRNAs cope with the degeneracy of the genetic code in two manners: having more than one tRNA (with a specific anti-codon) for a particular amino acid; and 'wobble' base-pairing, i.e. permitting non-standard base-pairing at the 3rd anti-codon position.
Source: RNAcentral
GUCUAGUUGGCCUAGGACACCGCCCUUUCACGGCGGCAACAGGGGUUCGAAUCCCCUUGGGGACGCCA